RNAcentral lists this ribosomal RNA (402 nucleotides) under uncultured eukaryote. Its description in RNAcentral is "bacterial SSU rRNA". It matches the Rfam family "Eukaryotic small subunit ribosomal RNA", at positions 52 to 432 of the family's 1831-position model. The record is from RNAcentral.
UGCAAGUCCAAGUACACGUCCUUGAACGACGGAAACUGCGAACGGCUCAUUAAAUCAGUUGCGAUCUACUCGGCGUUCCGCGCCGCCGGAUAACCGUAGUAAUUCUAGGGCUAAUACGUGCGAAGCGCCCGAAGCCGCGAGGCGACGGGCGUUCUCGCCGGAUGUAGGGAACCGACCCGGGGACCGCCGGGGCAACCCGGCGCCCCCGAGACGGGGCGAACCACGGUGAAAUGACGGAUCGUCGGCCCCGCGCCGGCGACUCGCCGAAUGAGUUUCUGACCUAUCAACUCGAGACGGCGGGGUAGAGGCCCGCCGCGGUAACGACGGGUAACGGGGAAUCAGGGUUCGAUUCCGGAGAGGGGAGCCCGAGAAACGGCUACCACUUCCAAGGAAGGCAGCAGG